CCUACGGGUGGCAGCAGUAGGGAAUUUUCGGCAACGGGGGGAACCCUGACCGAGCAACGCCGCGUGAACGAAGAAGUUAUUCGUAAUGUAAAGUUCUUUUAAGAGGGAAGAGCAGAAGACGGUACCUCUUGAAUAAGCCACGGCUAACUACGUGCCAGCAGCCGCGGUAAUACGUAGGUGGCAAGCGUUGUCCGGAUUUACUGGGUGUAAAGGGCGUGCAGCCGGGAAGACAAGUCAGAUGUGAAAUCCCGCGGCUCAACCGCGGAACUGCAUUUGAAACUGUUUUUCUUGAGUACCGGAGAGGUCAUCGGAAUUCCUUGUGUAGCGGUGAAAUGCGUAGAUAUAAGGAAGAACACCAGUGGCGAAGGCGGAUGACUGGACGGCAACUGACGGUGAGGCGCGAAAGCGUGGGGAGCAAACAGGAUUAGAUACCCGUGUAGUC
This 442-nucleotide ribosomal RNA is filed under the name uncultured bacterium. RNAcentral describes it as "partial 16S ribosomal RNA". It matches the Rfam family "Bacterial small subunit ribosomal RNA", at positions 338 to 795 of the family's 1533-position model. The record is from RNAcentral.